CCUACGGGUGGCUGCAGUGAGGAAUCUUCCACAAUGGGGGCAACCCUGAUGGAGCAACGCCGCGUGCAGGAUGAAGGCCUUCGGGUUGUAAACUGCUUUUAUAAGUGAGGAAUAUGACGGUAACUUAUGAAUAAGGAUCGGCUAACUACGUGCCAGCAGCCGCGGUCAUACGUAGGAUCCGAGCGUUAUCCGGAGUGACUGGGCGUAAAGAGUUGCGUAGGCGGCUCGUUAAGCGAGUAGUGAAAUCGUGUGGCUCAACCAUACGGCUAUUACUC
Molecule: ribosomal RNA, 275 nt
Filed under: uncultured bacterium
Lineage: Bacteria
Description: partial 16S ribosomal RNA
Rfam family: Bacterial small subunit ribosomal RNA
Source: RNAcentral